Molecule: long non-coding RNA, 1102 nt
Organism: Parambassis ranga (Indian glassy fish)
Lineage: Eukaryota; Metazoa; Chordata; Actinopteri; Ambassidae
Source: Ensembl
CCUCAGGAGUCCUGAUGAAGUAUUUGUUAAUUAUGUCUUUUGUGUGGUAAGUAAACCAUAAAUGUGCAUUUACUGUAUUUUUCAAUGUGUCAAUGCAGUUUGUGUGUGUUUUGUCAUUUAAAGGUUUUCAUUGAGUCUGGGCUACUUCUGCCUUAUGCUGAAUGUGGGUGGGUUUGGUCUGAACAUCUUCCUGGUUCAGUUUUUUUUUGGGUUUUCUGAGCUUCUAGCAUCCCUCGUCUGUUUAUGGGUGCUGGAGUUAUCGGGGAGGAAAAAGUGUCUGAUGGCAACCCUUAUGACAGCCGGCUUUCUUUGCCUCUUGACCCUGGCUUUCCCUCGAGGUGAGCUUUCUGCCUCUGUUCACACUUCUGUCUGAGUGUCGGUGCUCUGAUAUUUUCUUCUUCAUCGUUCCAGACAGCGCUGUUGUCAUCACCAUCCUUGCAAUAAUGGGGAAGUUCUUUUUUAGCUGGGCUUCUUCAGUGUGUACGAUCUAUAUUCAGGAGUUGUUCCCCACUUCUGUCAGGUUUCAUAACAUAACACAAACUUUAUCACACCAAUAUUCAUACAUAAAUGUGAAGGUUAAUUCCAUCUUCUGCUCUGUAGACAAUCGGCUGUUGGCUUGGUCUACACAGCCUAUAGAGUAGGAGGGCUGAUGUCUUCGGUGCUGAACAUGUUGGCCGUGUACCACUGGUCUGUACCCACCACAGUGUUCAGCAGCCUUGCUGUGGUCAGUGGGGCUCUUGUAUUCCUGCUUCCUGAGACCAGUAAAAAGGAGCUUCCUGAUUCAACCAGUGAGGCCAAAGGCAACAGGACUAUAAGUGACGGGGAGACAGAAGGCAACUUGGCUGAAAACAACAGAAAAUCCACCAAACUCUAAUUAACGUACUGGUUUCUAUAAGUGAUUUUACCAUCAGAGGACUGAUGAAGAAUGAUGAAGGUCAAUGUUGGUUAUUAUACAUCCUUUGUUAUAAACCCUCCUAGUGGUUGACACGCUGCUUCCACCACUCACGUCUGUUAACUGUUGUGAGUGCUACAACAAUACAUACACACACACAUAUGACACACACACACAAAUGUUGUAAGUUCACAAUGUUUUGGGUCGGCU